This 90-nucleotide transfer RNA is filed under the name Gammaproteobacteria bacterium. Its description in RNAcentral is "tRNA-Ser". It matches the Rfam family "tRNA". Rfam says of the family: Transfer RNA (tRNA) molecules are approximately 80 nucleotides in length. Their secondary structure includes four short double-helical elements and three loops (D, anti-codon, and T loops). Lineage: Bacteria; Pseudomonadati; Pseudomonadota; Gammaproteobacteria. The record is from RNAcentral. RNAcentral also lists the same sequence under 2 other names.
GGAGGGGUGGCAGAGCGGUUGAAUGCACUGGUCUUGAAAACCAGCGAGGAUGAAAGUCCUCCAAGAGUUCGAAUCUCUUCCCCUCCGCCA